Oncorhynchus tshawytscha (Chinook salmon) is the source of this 887-nucleotide long non-coding RNA. The record is from Ensembl. Lineage: Eukaryota; Metazoa; Chordata; Actinopteri; Salmoniformes; Salmonidae.
ACUGGUUGUCCCUCCUCCUCUUUAAUUUAGCUAUGGUAGACUGGUUCUCCCUCUUCCUCCUCCUCCUCUCUAAUGUAGCUGUACUAGACUGGUUAUCUCUCCUCCUCCUCUCUAAUGUAGCUGUACUGGAUCGGUUCUCCCUCCUCCUCUCUAAUGUGUCUAUAAUAGACUGGUUCUCGCUCGUCCUCCUCUUUAAUGUAGCUGUACUAUACAGGUUCUCCCUCCUCCUCUCUAAUGUAUCUAUACUAGACGGGUUUUCCCUCCUCCUCUCUAAUGUAGCUAUAGUAGACUGGUUCUCCCUCCUCCUCCUCUCUAAUGUGUCUAUACUAGACUGGUUUUCCCUCCUCCUCUCUAAUGUAUCUAUACUAGACUGGUUUUCCCUCCUCCUCCUCUAUUAUGUAGCUGUACUAGACUGGUUCUCCCUCCUCCUCCUCUCUAAUGUAGCUGUACUAGACUGGUUCUCCCUACUCCUCCUCUCUAAUGUAGCUAUACUAGACUGGUUCUCCCUCCUCCUCCUCUCUAAUGUAGCUAUACUAUACUGGUUCUCCGUCCUCCUCCUCUCUAAUGUAGCUAUACUAGACUGGUUCUCCAUCCUCCUCUCUAAUGGAGCUAUACUAGACUGCUUCUCUCUCCUCCUCUCUAAUAUAGCUGUACAUGACUGGUUCUCCAUCCUCCUCUCUAAUGUAUCUAUACUAUACUGGUUGUCCCUCCUCCUCCUCUCUAAUGUAUCUAUCAUAGACUGGUUCUCCCUCCUCCUCCUCUUUAAUGUAGCUGUACUAGACUGGUUCUCCCUCCUCCUCCUCCUCCUCUCUAAUGUAGCUAUACUAGACUGGUUCUCCCUCCUCCUCUCUAAUGUAUCUAUACUAGACUGCUUCUCCCUCCUCCUC